GAUGUCCAAGGCUGGGGGAAGGUUAGCAAGUCCUCUUACAGUUAUUGACACUCAAAUGACAUCAGUUCAGUUUAUUGUAUCACUGCAUGCAUCUAUCCAUCUGAAGCCCUGAACUGAUUGCCCUCAGUGAGCAGUGUAGCAGACUUUAGAUCACUGAAAAAGUUAUGCCUAGGGCUUUUCUCACUCCAUAAAGCAUAUGUGUUGCCCAGCUCCUCUCAGUUUCUAGGAGUGGGAGUUAAUUAAAUACUUGGCAGACAGAAUUUAUACCUCAUGUCUAUGGGAAGGGAUUACUGUGAAAGGAGCUAACAGAAUGGAUUCCAGCUGAACUUUAUUCUUUUUGUUCCAGAUUUCUUCUCAAAUGUCAAGUUAGUCUUCCACAGAUAAUGCAUUUUAUAUUGUAUGUGAUUCUGGAUAGGUCAUGGAUAAUCUCAGGCAAGGGCUCUGAAUGAGAACAAUUACUGCUUUGGAGGAGAUAUGUAAUUUUUUUUUUUUUUUUAAGGCUUGCUUUGAUCAGCCACAGCUACCUAGCUAGCAUAUCAUUGUCCUAAUUAGCAUGUGUUCAAAUCCCACUGGUGUUUCAAUCGCCUCCAUGUCUAAAUUCCCAAAUCUAUCCAUCUCAUUGACAGGCCUCUAACUAGAAGCAUCCUCCUGGACAUGCUGGCCUGUCACAUAAAAAGUCCCAGCUUAAAAAGUGUCCCCACCUUAGUUGUAAGCCCACUGUUUUCUCAAGGGGCUAGGCUAAGGGCUACAGUACUCCAAACGUGCCAUGCUGGAGAGAUUGUGCUUUUGUGAGCCCCAUCUCCCCACUUCCCUGUGAGCAUGUCAGUCUUCAUCAAAAAAGGAAUAAUCAAUGUAUGUUCUGAUAUUACCAGAACACAAGUUUGGAUGUGUCUUAGCAACUUACGGAAAUAAUUGUUCUGCCCCAAGGGAACAGCUGAAUCCUCAGCUUUGGAGGGGACACUAUAGAUAAUCUGGCAAAGAAGGAGGGAAAAGGUCCAUACUAAUACAAGAUGCUAAGACUUUGUCAUCGAAUCCAACAGACAACUACCCAAGUACACACUAACUCUCUGCCAUUAAAGCCAACUACCCAACCCAGACAUACCAGUUACACAAUAAUGCUUCCAUCAGUGGUAACAAUAUGCCAAUGACGUCUUAGCAACAUGACGAUUGUAUGACCAUUACCCGCAGACACACUGGAUCCAAGGAAUCAGAACUUGCCCUCAGGCAGCUUCCCUACUACUAAGCCAAAGUAUUUUGCUGGGGCUGCUGCUGCUACUUCUGCAUGGUGUUGGGAGAGUUCUGUUAUAUAAUAAGAAAUGAUAAGCCAGAUAUUGUCAGAAAAACAUGGGAAGACUUACAUGAAGUUAGCAGAAUGAGGACAACAGUGCACUUGGUAACAGCAAGAUUGUUCAAUGAAGAACUGGGAAUGACGUAGCUAUUCUGACAAAUAUGAAGGACUUAUUGUGAAAAAUGCUCUGCACUUCCAAAAAAAGAACUGAUGAAGUGAAUCACCUCUGGCAACAAUAGCAAACGCUAUGGUUUUGAGAUGAAGAGCACACAAGAUCUGUCAGAUACUCAUUAUCCUUUACAAGUUAUCACUGAAUUACUGGCAGGGGAUGAAUAAUUAUAUUUAAAAAGAACUUGUGUUCCACAGGGUGGACCUUCCCGGAGAAGUCAAGACUCCCUCAGCAGACUCCUACUGGGAACCGAGGACUUCUUAAUUGCUAAAACUUGAGAGCCCCUUGGAGUUGCCUUCAAUUCUCCUCCUCAAGCUCCAGCAUCAGGAUCAAUCAUCACUUGGAACAGACACAACGUCUUACAGCAUUUUAUAAUCAACUUCAGUCUUUUCCUUCACACAGAAAUGUUCUCUGCCCUUUUCAUCCCCAGAUUGCAGUGUAUCUUCCACUCUGAAUGAGUUUCUAAAUAUCACAUGAACGUACCUGAGUCAGACCUAUGGUCUGUAUCCAUGGAAGGAGAACCCGAAAGGUGGAAUGACUAAGCAUCAUCCCCCACGCUACGCCCACCUAAGACUCCCUAUUGUUCAUGCUUUAGGACAAAGAACUCUUUUUUUAAUGAAUUCUUCAUGGAAACAACUAAGCUCCUGGAAGGGUCAGCUCAAGAACCACUUGUAUUAAGGCCUUUCUGGAUUUUCCCUGGGUGUCGGUGGCCUCUCUCCCUGUCACCACAGACUCCAGAAAGUUUCCAGACCUCAGUAGCUCAGUACAAUAAAACAUGGGAGCCACAACCAGAAAAUAAAGUAAGCCCCAUUUUAGCAUUAGAAGGAAUUUUUACUGAGGUCUUGCUCUGGCCUUCCAGCAAGUCAACGAGAGGACUGUGUUCCUUACACAGCACAAAAAACCCUGACAGAUUCUUCCCCCCCCCUCCGUGUGCGCUCACCUGGGGAGGACUUGAAGCCCCCGAGAAGCCUGUAAGCUCGCUGUCCCUCUUGACCCUUCAGGUCCUAAGCUGCAAGGACAGCGCCCACAAGCAGGGAAGACUUGGGCAGGGAGGCUGGGGCGGGUUGGACCUGCCUGUGUUCAGUGACUCCUCCCCUCUCAAAAGUCUCUGAGCUGCAACACCUGGGGCUUCCUGCAAGAUACAGAAUCACCACCCUUCCCUGCCCCCCAUCCUGUAAGUGUCUGUAUCAGCCAUGUAGGGAUCUUGGGGAGUCUAGCCUCCACUCCCCCACCUCUGCCACUGCAGCAGCUGCGCACUCGCCGCAGCCUUGCCCACCCAGAGCCAGACUGGAGACUAAACAUGAUGCCCUUACCUCUUUCUCUACAUUUUUAAUUUGAAAACCUCUCUCUGGCUCCAAUCCUACCCCUGCCCACCCCUGCCACCUAUCCUGAGGCCCCAAGAAAUGAAGAAGAUGCUCACUGUACCUGAGAUGACCUAUUAGAAAUACUCCCAUGUGUCCACAUCUUAAGGGAUCAGGGCAGGGCAAUGGUCAGGGAACAAGCGAUCUACCCACUGGUUUGGUCCUGGUUUCUCUGAGAAGAAAAAGACAAAAGACCCAAGCCAUGCUGCUGUCAACCACCCAAAGAACUUGGGGAAUCCUUCCUCAUUUUCCCACUGCCCAGA
Molecule: long non-coding RNA, 3081 nt
Organism: Sarcophilus harrisii (Tasmanian devil)
Lineage: Eukaryota; Metazoa; Chordata; Mammalia; Dasyuromorphia; Dasyuridae
Exons: 4
Source: RefSeq, a predicted model, not a curated record